GGAGGCAUAGCUCAGUUGGUUAGAUCACUUGCUCGACAAGCAAGGGGCCGCUGGUUCGAGUCCAGCUGUCUCCACCA
This 77-nucleotide transfer RNA is filed under the name Eubacteriales Family XIII. Incertae Sedis bacterium. Its description in RNAcentral is "tRNA-Val". It matches the Rfam family "tRNA". From Rfam's summary of the family: Transfer RNA (tRNA) molecules are approximately 80 nucleotides in length. Their secondary structure includes four short double-helical elements and three loops (D, anti-codon, and T loops). Lineage: Bacteria; Bacillati; Bacillota; Clostridia; Peptostreptococcales; Anaerovoracaceae. The record is from RNAcentral.